This 252-nucleotide ribosomal RNA is filed under the name uncultured Gardnerella sp. RNAcentral's name for it is "partial 16S ribosomal RNA". It matches the Rfam family "Bacterial small subunit ribosomal RNA", at positions 103 to 356 of the family's 1533-position model. Lineage: Bacteria; Bacillati; Actinomycetota; Actinomycetes; Bifidobacteriales; Bifidobacteriaceae. The record is from RNAcentral.
CGGGUGAGUAAUGCGUGACCAACCUGCCCCAUGCUCCAGAAUAGCUCUUGGAAACGGGUGGUAAUGCUGGAUGCUCCAACUUGACGCAUGUCUUGUUGGGAAAGUGUUUAGUGGCAUGGGAUGGGGUCGCGUCCUAUCAGCUUGUAGGCGGGGUAAUGGCCCACCUAGGCUUCGACGGGUAGCCGGCCUGAGAGGGCAGACGGCCACAUUGGGACUGAGAUACGGCCCAGACUCCUACGGGAGGCAGCAGUG